GACGUACUGCGCGAACGUUAUUCGGAAUCACUGGGCUUAAAGGGUGCGCAGGCGGCUUCCAAAGCCCGAAGUGAAAGGUCCCGGCCCAACCGGGGACGUGCUUCGGGGACUUGGAGGCUCGGGCGAGCUAGGGGUCCGUGGAACUCCCGGUGGAGCGGUGAAAUGUGUUGAGAUCGGGAGGAACGCCGGUGGCGAAAGCGACGGACUGGGGCUUUGCCGACGCUCAUGCACGAAAGCCAGGGGAGCGAACGGG
Molecule: ribosomal RNA, 253 nt
Filed under: uncultured bacterium
Lineage: Bacteria
Description: partial 16S ribosomal RNA
Rfam family: Bacterial small subunit ribosomal RNA
Source: RNAcentral